GCAUGAUGAGGUAGAUGUACCAAGUAAGCCCUUAACUGUGUUCCAUACCUUUUUAGAAUCAUUUUUACAAUCAAUAAAAACAUUGUUGUAAAAUAACUUUUUUUUCUUUCGAUUCAAUUUCACUACAUAAUUACGUAAUGUUCUAUAAUUCUGUUCAUCAAUUUAGAAUUUUGACUUGGCUGCUAAGACUUUUGCCAUAUUUCUUUGAGAAAAAGCCUUGGGGGGGUUAAAACACCCUGACUUUGUCUUUGUGCUUUCUUCCUUAUGUGGUGCUUUUCUUCUCCUCGAGCAUUUGUUAGACUUGGAAGCAGUCAGUCUUGCAGGUGAAGAACUUGGCUGCAUGUAAAGGUAUUCCUACAGAAAUAACUUCGCUGCAGGGGAACCAUGGGAACCAUCAUGCUGUGUGUUUAGUUGUUUCGUCUCGCUAAUCUGUCUGAAGUAAGGCGCAGCCUACUCCAUGGCCUAGAUCUUCCCCAAUACAAGUUCAAGACGACAUCAGUGCCAUGUUGGUCUAAGUAUAGGACCAAUCACAAUCAGCCUUAUGAGACCUUUGUCAGCAAAUACAAAAGGAGAUGAUAUCCAGUUUUACAGUUCCACAGAUGCUAAGAGGAAAAUGGAAGUCAAUGGUGAAGCAAGAGCUAGAGGUGAAGGAGUGAGAGGAAGAGGAGGAAGAGGAAGAUGACGAAGGACAGUUGUCUCAGAUGAGAUCAGGGCUACAUUGGUUGACCAUGUGCUCAACAAUGGAUUGAGUAUGAGGGAGGCUGGGCAGAGAGUUCAGCCCAACCCUGAGCCUCUACACGGUUGCAUCUAUCAUCUGUACAUUCAGAAAUGAGAACCGGUAAGUUACCUACAGUACCAUCUACAGUAUGCUCUUUAUGUACAGUGAGGGAAAAAAGUUUUUGAUCCCCUGCUGAUUUUGUAUGUUUGCCCACUGACAAAGAAAUUAUCAGUCUAUAAUUUUAAUGGUAGGUUUAUUUGAACAGUGAGAGACAGAAUAACAACAAAAAAAUCCAGAAAACGCAUGUUAAAAAUGUUAUAAAUUGUUCUGCAUUUUAAUGAGGGAAAUA
RNAcentral lists this long non-coding RNA (1067 nucleotides) under Salmo salar (Atlantic salmon). RNAcentral's name for it is "lncRNA (ENSSSAG00000103809.1)". The record is from RNAcentral. Lineage: Eukaryota; Metazoa; Chordata; Actinopteri; Salmoniformes; Salmonidae.